Molecule: ribosomal RNA, 165 nt
Filed under: Mikania thapsoides
Lineage: Eukaryota; Viridiplantae; Streptophyta; Magnoliopsida; Asterales; Asteraceae
Also listed under: 2 other names
Description: 5.8S ribosomal RNA
Rfam family: 5.8S ribosomal RNA
About the family: 5.8S ribosomal RNA (5.8S rRNA) is a component of the large subunit of the eukaryotic ribosome. It is transcribed by RNA polymerase I as part of the 45S precursor that also contains 18S and 28S rRNA.
Source: RNAcentral
AAACAACUCUCGGCAACGGAUAUCUUGGCUCACGCAUCGAUGAAGAACGUAGCAAAAUGCGAUACUUGGUGUGAAUUGCAGAAUCCCGUGAACCAUCGAGUUUUUGAACGCAAGUUGCGCCCGAAGCCACUUGGUUGAGGGCACGUCUGCCUGGGUGUCACGCAU